Molecule: ribosomal RNA, 448 nt
Filed under: uncultured bacterium
Lineage: Bacteria
Description: SSU rRNA
Rfam family: Bacterial small subunit ribosomal RNA
Source: RNAcentral
AGGAUGAACGCUGGCGGCGUGCCUAAUACAUGCAAGUCGAACGGAGCCUUCGGGCUUAGUGGCGAACGGGUGAGUAACACGUUGGUACCUACCCUCUAGUGGGGAAUAACUGCCCGAAAGGGUGGCUAAUACCGCAUAAUACCGCAAGGUUAAAGCAGUAAUGCGCUAGAGGAGGGGCCUGCGUCCCAUUAGCUUGUUGGUAGUGUAAUGGACUACCAAGGCGACGAUGGGUAGCUGGAUCGAGAGGUUGACCAGCCACACUGGGACUGAGAUACGGCCCAGACUCCUACGGGAGGCAGCAGUAAGGAAUCUUCCACAAUGGACGAAAGUCUGAUGGAGCAACGCCGCGUGCAGGAUGACGGUCUUCGGAUUGUAAACUGCUUUUAUAUGGGAAGAUUAUGACGGUACCAUAUGAAUAAGGACCGGCUAACUACGCGCCAGCAGCCGC